CCUACGGGAGGCAGCAGUGGGGAAUAUUGCACAAUGGGGGAAACCCUGAUGCAGCGACGCCGCGUGAGUGAAGAAGGAAUUCGGGAUGUAAAGCUCUAUUAGUAGGGAAGAAAAAGACGGUACGUGAGUAAGAAGCCCAGGCUAACUACGAGCCAGCAGCCGCGGGAAUACGAAGGGGGAAAGCGUUAGCCGGAUGUACUGGGUGUAAAGGGGGCGUAGACGGCAGGGCAAGUCGGGUGUGAAAGUCGGGGGCUCAACCCCCGGACUGCUCUGGAAACUGUACGGCUGGAGUGCAGGAGAGGUAAGUGGAAUUCCUAGUGUAGCGGUGAAAUGCGUAGAUAUUAGGAGGAACACCAGUGGCGAAGGCGGCUUACUGGACUGUAACUGACGUUGAGGCUCGAAAGCGUGGGGAGCAAACAGGAUUAGAUACCCCAGUAGUC
This 440-nucleotide ribosomal RNA is filed under the name uncultured bacterium. Its description in RNAcentral is "partial 16S ribosomal RNA". It matches the Rfam family "Bacterial small subunit ribosomal RNA", at positions 338 to 795 of the family's 1533-position model. The record is from RNAcentral.